Molecule: long non-coding RNA, 2470 nt
Organism: Drosophila virilis
Lineage: Eukaryota; Metazoa; Arthropoda; Insecta; Diptera; Drosophilidae
Source: RefSeq, a predicted model, not a curated record
CUUGUUUUGUUCAGUGUUUGUGGAAAAACACGUGCGAGAAAAAAGGACGAAGUGUCUUUGCCUUUGCCUCAUACCUAGUGUCUGGUGCGUAGAAACAUAACUUGUGUUGUCUUUCUACCUAUAUCAUUCUGUUCGACAAUAACUGGCAUUUUGCAGACAACCCGAGUAUGAGGACCGAAUUUUGCGACAUUUGAUCUUAGCUUGUUAGCCUGUACCUAGUGUCUCUUGCCAUUCAACUAUACAAUUGUGCAUACAGUGAUGUUCCCAAUCAACUAUUUUAUAACACCCCGUAAUUUUUAAUAUCUGCGUCCGCCAUGAUCACCAUGCUUGGUUUGUUAGACCGCCUUUCCUGGUUUUAAGGGAAUUAUGAGAUUACAAAAUAUGAAGAGGUUUUAUAAAGAAUUUGAGAAACCAGGAAAUCACUUUGAUUUCUCCCACUAUGCAGUUGCCAGAUCAAAUUUUCUAUUUUUACCGUUGUCGCAUUCAGUUAAAAAUCAGUUUGUCUGUAAAAAAAACAUAUUGUGUCAAAUAUAAUAAUCUGUAUAAUAGUUGAUAAAACGAUAAAGAACAAGACCAUCAAUUUUUAUUAAAUGUAUCAGUAAUAUAAUAAGGUUCACCUUGACGUAAAUCUUAUUUGAGGCAUACAGAUGUGGAAGGAUAAAGACAUGGUAGCAGUUUAUUUUACACGCGAGGAUUGACAUAGCGUUGCUUUGAACAGAGCAAUUUAUAGGGAGGGUAUAUUAAGUGUGUAGCCUCAUUUGUGCCAUCCAACUGAGCCAAAAACUAUCGCGUAUGAUAAUGUCUGUCCGUUUUUGAGUUAGAACCGCUUUAUAAGCACCAGUCUUGACACGUGUGUAUGUUAUUUAUGCAGUAGCAUUUUUUGGCUAUGAGUUUUGUUAGUUUCAAGAUCUCACACCCCAUCCGGUGAGCUACGCAACGCAACCAGACGUGUCAAGCAGGAAACAAACACACACAAGAAUAGGGCAUGAAUAAGUUAAUUAGCCAUAGGUAUCAUGUAUAAAUCAGUGCACUUUUUAGCACGACAGCGUUACAAAAUCAAAUAAAUAAACCAAUUUAUAUAAUCCACAAUUGAAAUGCAAUUGACUUGAAACACAGAAGUUACUAAAAAAAACCGUGUGUUGUCUGGACUCGAGUUUGAGGCAGCAAGCGCAAAUUGUAAAAGUUUCUGUAUACGUGUACACACAUGCAUUCAAUCGUGUCUCAUCACCGUUUGUUAGGUAAUUCGCCAACGAAUGGUCGGUCAUGCAAUGCCCCCCAAAAAAAAGAUGACAACUAACGAUCUUAUGCAUUACUGGUCGUUAGGAAUUAGGAAUUAAUUUAUUAUGAGAUCAAGAACUGUAUAGGCAACAAGGGUCUUUUGUUAAUUGUGUGGUUUUACUCAACUGGAAAACUUAAACACCUAAUUAUUGUAAUGGAGUCUAUAUCAAAGGGAAUUGCUGCUCGGUUUCUAGAAGACCAGCUUCAAAAACAAUGCAGCUACUUAAUUGUAAGGUUAUUAGUUGUAAGUUAAUGCUAAGAAGGCAAUUUUUUAAAUAAAAUUUUAAUUUGUUGUAGUAAACUAUUAGUAUUAUUUCCACUAGCGAAAGAGCAAACCACUUUGCACUAGCAUGAUCGAGUAAAAUGUGCUGGCGAGAUCCCUUUUGGAUCAGAUAAAUCGCCAGCAUCUUUGUUCUAGCACAAUCGCUAAGUAAGUGUGCUAACGAAAUCGACAACCCUCUUGCACUAGGUUUUUUGUUAGGUCAAUGUCAUACAAGCUCGUACCGCUCGUUACGCGGCAGUGACAUCCCCAUGUUAAAUUCGUUAGGCUAACGAAUUUAUGUUUGCAUGGUUUGAUACCAGUACUCUUCACAAAGAGUCAGCUAAAUCGUUGGCGGUGCACCGUUGGACCCGAACUACAGGGUAUCAACUGGAUUGCAAUUGUAAACGAUUGUUCUCUGCGAUAAUAUUUUAAUCCGUUUGUUUCCCAUUAAGACUCAAUUAUUGGUGUGGCUGUUGCGUAGAGGUGGCCACAAUUAGUUUGGCCUGUUGCAAAUUCGACCUUUUUUUGUUUUAUAUAUUAUUUAAUCGGGGGCUCCCGACUAUAACCUCUUACUUAUUUGAAUUUAGACUAUUCCAACAGACAUUAGCCUUACGGUUUUUAAGAUAUGUGAAAAUUGUGAAGCUCAUAAAUUAUAAGCUUGAUGAAAAUAUUUUGCGAUACAAAAACACAUGGCUCACAUAUAUGAACUUGGACAGCAUAUCUUGUUGAAAAAAAAACAUACAAGAAGUUAAUUUUUUGCUGAUCGAUUUUAUAUUGCCUAUUCGAUAUCGUGGUCCGAUUUUGAUAAGAAUUUGCAUGUAUGUAAGAACUGCAUUUUCGAGCAAUCGUUCCCAUGGGAGCUAUUUUUUUUUAUAAGAUUUCGCAUAUAUGUGCGAAUAGUAAAAUAAUAAAUGCGGAGUUUGUUCGUUU